UGCUCCUAAUUUCCUUGUUUUUUACUUUCUUUCUUCCGCUAUUCUACCACCAUGUCUUCCAGGCAAACACGGCUUUGAGAGUCGCCUCAUUGACCUCCCUCUCCAUCUUCUAUUGGAGAUCCACUACAGCAAUUGAAAGAAACUUGUUGUAUUUCCUUCAUUCACUCUCCCUUUGUGUGCCCAUUGGCGGCUGCUCAUUCAUACAGUACAAUUCGACCUUCUCUGUAUUGUUAUUCUCUUUCCCUUUCCAUUCCAGUCUCUUCCCUAGAACACGCCCUCUCCGGUCUGCGAAGUCGGGACUUCUCACACUUGAAUCGGCCAAAUAUUGAACUAUUAAUUCCUGAAUCACCGUCCAGUUCGUCUCUCCCAGCUUGAGGCUAGCUGUAUAUCUCCUCAACUUCCUCCAUUGUGUGGGCUACAGCGAGGAAUUCGUGGUGGACUAUGAUUCUGGCCCCAGCAUAAAAUGUCAUCCCCCAGCAAUAGCGACAGCGUGGCCGCUGCGCUUGAUGCGCAGAGCGGCACAGGCCAAAAGACAGCGGGAAUGUCAAUAACCACCUUUUUGGCAUCCCUAGCUACCGCUCUCAUAGUCUUCACAGCUGAAGUCUUAUUAUUUACGCUGCUCAAGGGAAAGUUGACCAGGAUUUACCAACCGCGAACAUAUCUGGUCUCAGAACGAGAACGUACCAACCCUUCCCC
RNAcentral lists this small RNA (696 nucleotides) under Histoplasma capsulatum. RNAcentral describes it as "hypothetical RNA". RNAcentral also lists the same sequence under 1 other name. Lineage: Eukaryota; Fungi; Ascomycota; Eurotiomycetes; Onygenales; Ajellomycetaceae. The record is from RNAcentral.